RNAcentral lists this long non-coding RNA (9711 nucleotides) under Canis lupus familiaris (dog). RNAcentral's name for it is "lncRNA (ENSCAFG00845013523.1)". Lineage: Eukaryota; Metazoa; Chordata; Mammalia; Carnivora; Canidae. The record is from RNAcentral.
UAUUUAUUUAUUUUAAAAAUUAUUAUUUAGAGAGAGAGCAUGCACAUGUGUGAGCUGGGGGAGGGGGCUCAGAGCACAUGGAAAGGGGAGAGAGAAUCCCAAGCAGACUCCCCACCAAGCUCAGAGCCAGACAUGGCGCUCCAUCCAUUGCCUGGAGAUCAUAACCUGAGCCUAAAUCAAGAGUCGGAUGCCUAACCAACUGAGCCACCCAGGCAGCCCAGAUUCAUAGGGCUGUACUUUGAAUUUUAAAAAAAUCAAGGCAGAGUGAAGAAUGCCGGGUAAGCUUAUCAGAGGUUACAGAUACAAAAAAAAUAUUAUUUUGGUCAUCAACCGGCAAUAUCUACUUCUAGAGCAUUCUGUGCUUUAUGCAUUUUAUCUGACAGCAGCCCUCUGAGAUGAGAAAAUUGAAGCUCUCAGCAUCUACUUGAAGUCUGCAAGGUAUUACAAGUCCUGAGUGGUGGGGCCCAGCCUUGAGCCCAAGACCAACCAGCUCUCAAGUUCUGGCCCUUUAUUGUAAAGUGCUCCUGGCCAAUGCCGUAUUAUAAUCGUCUACUUUUUUGCUUAGCUCCAUCAUUGGUUGUUAGCACCUCUAGGGGAUGAACUGCAUGUCAUUAUCCUUAUAUCCCAGGACAAACCACAUGAUUUGACUCAAAAAUAUUUGCUGGAUGAAUGAAUGAGUGAAUAGACCAGAUAAAAUGGCACCUAGAAGAAACUUGAUUCUUAAGCAUGCCCAUGAACAGUGUGGUCAUGAAUGGAAAAAUAAAAAAAUAGUAUAUUUUAUAUUAUGUGUAACAUUUCCUGUAGGGGCUUUAUCUAUCUGUAAAGUUUCUCAUAGCUCUCUGAAGAUCUCCCUGGCCUUCAUCCAAAGCAAUCAUGUCUUCUAAACUUUGUUAAUAAGUCUAUCAUAACAGGAAGAGGCUAGAAAGAACAAUAGGCCUGAAAGGUUCCUCUUAGAUAAGCAUCAGUUUCUUGAUUGGUGAAAUGGUGAUAAUUCCUCAAAUUGGCACUUAUUAUUUAAUAUCUAUCAAGUGGUUUCUGUGUGACACACAUGUAUGUGCACAGUCCUAAAGCCAAAGGGAGAAACAGGAAAAAGUUCAGUUCUCAUGGAUUCUAUAACGGAGUGUGGGGGACAGACAUGGAAACAAGUAUAUACAACAUAGUGUAGAAGAUUCCACAAGGAGGGACACAUAGAAGAAAAUGGCUGGGCUCAGCCCAGGGGUGUUAAAAAGAAGCUGUUCAAUGUACUAGCUAAGAGCAAGGACUCUGGACUCAAAGGCUUGAGUUCAAAUCCUGGCUUGACCAUGCUUUGCCUCUGUAAUGUUGGGCAAUUUACUUAAUCCAUCUAUCACUUCCCAUCUCCUUGUCUAUAAAAUGGGAAUACUAUUAGUUCUAACUUCGUAAGUUUGUUCUGAACAUGAAAAUGGCAUAUAACAUCUACAGUACUGAACUCUGUGCUCAACACAUAGUAAACACCUGAUGAAGGCUUCAUAGAAGAAGCAGUGUCUUGGACAGUUGGACUUUGUUGGGGGAAUGGACAAGUACUUCACAGAAAAGGCCUUCCAGGUACAACAAACUGAAUGCCCAAUGGUUAAGAGGGGUGAGAUUUUCUGUAUUUUUAUUUUACAACCUACUGUAAAAAAUACACCUUACAUUACAAAUUGGUACCCCUCCACACACACAUCACUAAAACCAAAGUUUAAUAAAACAAUGCUUACUGUGUGCAACGUACGUUGAUUCAUUCCAUUCCAUUCUAAUUUUUUUUUAAUGGUGAUUGAAGUCCUUUAAAUUGAUUUUGUGACCUCUUAGUGGGUUAAGACCCACCAUUUGGAAAACACUUAUUUAGAAUAGGGUUAAGUAUGGCAGUUUUACAAAACAGUAGUGCUGGGCAUAAAAGGAACAAAGUCUAAUUAUGCCACACGCUGUGCUUGGUCCUGGGCCUUAAUAUAAUAAAUGAGAGCAUUUAGAGAGGAGGCUGAAAAGGAAGUCAGGGUCCUUAUCCUGCAGACCUGCAUAAACCAUGUUACAUGGGCCCGACUUGACCUGCAGGCACUGAGGAACCACUGGGGAAUUGUGCCAUGCUAGGUGUGGAGGGUCUGUGUGGUCACUCUGGGGGUGGCAUGCAGGAUGGCUCCACAAUGGCAGGACUGGAAUGAUGUCACCAGGUUAUGCUUUGAUGAAAGCUCUGAAUAACUGCUAGAUUCUAUGAUGAUACACUUACAGUACAUUCCAUACCUCAUCCUAAAAUUUGGUGCCUGCCCCAGGAUGUUAGACUCCCUAUCCUUUUGAUAGUUGUACAAAGAUGUGGCUGAGAAAGCGUAGGGUCUCAGGGCUGCUUUAGCAGAUUUUCUUUCUAAGAGUAAGUGCAUUCGGUAGGUACACUAUUAGACAAGCUAGUCAUGAUGCAUUUUAUUUUCAGUAAGUGAUUUGAAAAUAUUAGGCACCCGAUCUGAACUCAAACCCAUGGGAAAUAAUUUUUUUAUCAAUAGAAAUAUAAUGCAUUUCCUGAAAUAGUGUGAAAUUUGGGUGGCUAUCACAGGCUACAUUUAAAAAAUUCUUCUGUUAAUAUUUGGUGUCAGAGACAAUUUGCAAGCAGAGUUUUUGGCAAACUAAGACUUAAUGGGGGAUCCCUGGGUGGCGCAGCGGUUUGGCGCCUGCCUUUGGCCCAGGGCGCGAUCCUGGAGACCCGGGAUCGAAUCCCAUGUCGGGCUCCUGGUGCAUGGAACCUGCUUCUCCCUCUGCCUGUGUCUCUGCCUCUCUCUCUCUCUCUCUCUCUGUGACUAUCAUAAAUAAAUAAAAAUUAAAAAAAUUAAAAAAAAUAAGACUUAAUGGUUAGAGAAAGUAACAUUUAAUGAGUGCUCACAGUAUGUAAGUGCUUUUAUACAUGUUAUGAUAGAAGCUCUCAUAGGCAAUCUUCAUUUAGGCAAAUUCUUAGGUUAACAGGGUUCUCAUUCUUUCGAUGAAUGUAUUGACUAGUAUCUAUAACUUUAAAGAACAUGAAUGGCUAGCAGACUUUUCUUUAGAAAACUUGUAUACUUCUGUUCACAUGAGCAGAACUAUAUGCUCACCAUAUAUUUGUUUAUUCAAAUUGUACUUGUUAUUUUUAUGCUGCAAUCUACUAAGUAACAUGUACAUAGAUGCAAUAAAUUCCCCCCAAAACAGAUUUCUUUUUAUGAAAUCUAAGUUGAAUACUUUGGAAAGACUUGAUAAAAUAAAUGAACUGCCUAAUAAAACAUUGAAUUUAGUUGGACUAGGGUAACUAUAAAGGACAGAAGAAAGUGGUAAAAAAAAUUUAAAGUGCUUUUACACACUCAUUUUACUUUAAAGAAACUGACACUGAAAAUCAUUUUUUUAAAAAUGCUUUAUGUGGAUGUUUAAAUGCCCAGGUUCUGGCCAGUGGGCCUUAUUCUCCCAGAAAAGACCUUGGCUCUACAUCAGACGGUUGCUAAAUAAAAGAAUUGUUAUAUUUAAUUUGAAAUAAGCUAUUUAAUGUCUCUAUAGAUUGACCCAGGGAGAACCUGUAUUGCUUUUUAUGAUCUAACUUCCUGAGUCACAUAGCGUCCUUUCCAUAAUAACCCACUGAUCAGGGUAUUUACAGAUGUGCACCCAGAUUCAAGAAGAAGGAACGUGGGCCCUGCCUCAAAUGGAAAGAUGUCAGUGUUACAUUGUAAGAUCAUAUGGGAUGGGAGAUAUUUUGGCCAUUUUUGGAAAAUACUAUCUUUAUAGCUGCUUUAAUUUACUACUAUUCUUUUUCAAAUAACUAAUGAUUCUGAUGUCAUUAGAUAAAAAGAAUUUCAUUAUAAUUAGUGUAAUUCUUACAACAGAUCUCCUGGAUAGGUAUCAUAGUAGCCAUUCUGGGGAUCCAGAAGCUUGAGGCUCAGGGAAGCUCAGUGAUUAAAGCCUGCCCUCUUUCCAUUAAAACUUUCUGCCUUUCUUCUUGUGAUAGGGAUUUAGGACUUAUGCUUUCUAAUUAUGUCCAUCCUAAGACCUAAAAUCCAGUACAACCCAUUGGAACAUCAAGACCCAGUGAUGGACCACACAAAGUGGAGUGAUUUUAGCUUCACUACAUACAAUAGUCUAGCUGCCACCAAGACUAGUGGUUUCCAAACUUUGUUGCACAUUAGGUUUCCUGAAAAAAUCCUGAUACCCAGGUUGGAUCCCAUGCCAAUUAAAUCACAGUGUCUGAGGUGGAAGCCAGGCAGUAGUAAUUUUUAAAGGGCCCCAGAUGGUCCCAAUGUGAAGCAAAGUGAAGCUAUGACAGCGAUUCUUCCUCAAUUGAAUCCUCCCAUCUCAGGUUUCUACUAAGUCUUGCCUCUCUGUCUCUGUCUCUGUCUCUGUCUCUCAUUCCUGCUAUUGUACUUGACCUCACUAAUUCUUCCCCAAACUGCUUAUCCCAAAGAUUUGCUCCAAGUCUUGGUUUUCUCAUCCACAAUAUAAGGAUGCUGCUGCUGAUGGUGAUGAUGAUGACAAUCUUACACUGCUAUGUUAUCAUAAGGAUUAAAAGAGAUAAUGUAGGAGGUACUCAAUAAGCUUGUUAAAAUAUUUGUUGAAUGAAUGAAAGAAUCUGAAUCAUUUCAUAGAUUUCUUUUAUGACCAAAGAAAUUAAGUCAACAUGAAUCUGGUUUCAGGUAUUAAACACAGAUUAAAUAUUCAUUUUUAGGACACAUUUGUUUUAAAUUUAACACAUGGGUUCAUGAAUAACACUAUAAAGAACCCAUUCCCUAAAAUAUUAAUAUAAAUAUCUAUGCACGAGGGGAAAAUAAUUGGGGAAUUUUAUCUCCUCUGACAAAGGGGAAAAAAGGCCAUUUAAAAAUAUUACUUUCUCUCCCUCAGACGGAGAGUGGAGGUAAGCCAUAAGAAAUCCAAGUUCACAUGAAAGAGCCAUGAUAAAAAAUGCAGGUGGUGUGAAACAUUUAUAAGGGCCGAGUGUUAGGUGGUAUGUAGGCUUGAAUUUGAAAUGACAUUUUGGCAUAAAACAGAUCUCCCACAGGCAGAUUUGAAACUUCCAGAAAAGUCUUAAAAUGACAUCUUUCAAAAUGAACAAUCAUCAAAUAUGCCCAAGUCAUUACCUCAAAGUACUUUGCUAAUGAGACAGGCUGAAGAAAUGGCUAAAAAUAAUUGACCCCAGUUUUACAGCUGAAAGUUGUAAAAAAAAGAAAAAGAACUAUUGCAGGGUACGAACGUAGAAUUAGGCAACUGGCAACUGUUUAGCAUAUUAAAUACAAACAUUAGGACAUGUCUCACUCAGCACAGAACAAUUGCCAAUAGCUUUUUAUGCACAAAUUUCAAAUUGCUUCACAAAUUACUUGGUGUCAUAUUUUCUCCUGUAACUUUUAUUCCGCUUGUACAGUGCUGGUCUAAAAAAGAGACAUGCAUGCCAAUAUCUAAUGAGGCAUUUGCUUCAUUUCCUCGUUAGACCCUUGCACAAUGCUAUAAAUCAGGCAAGGUAGGAUUUAUUGUUCCCAUUUUGUAGAUAAAGACAUUGAGGUCCAAAGAGGUUAAUAAUUUGUUCGUGUGUACAUAGUCUUUUAAAGACACUGCACCAUCUUAUUUAACGCAGACCACAUGCACAGUGGGUACUUGUGUAAGAGUUUUUCAGGAAGGAAAUCAAGAUAGAAAGAAAAAAAUAUGUCUAUUAAGCACACGUUAUGUGAAAUAUUGGACACAAUGUGGAGAAUUGCAUAAAGAGUUGAAUAUAAAUUGGAUGCACCUAAUAAUCUCAACUUAAAAAUUUGCAUAAGAAAAAGAUGGGAAUAAAAUAUACCAAAAUGUCUACUUCUUUUUUUAUUCCUUUAUUUCUGAAUUUUCUGUCAUAAACAUGUAUUAUUUUUAUGACUGGAAAGAAUAAUCAAUUCAUUAAUUCAACUUUUCUAUUGAGUGCUAUAUACCAGGCAUUGUUCUAGACACUGUGUUUUGGCAGUGGAGACAAUGGAGGAAAUCCCAGCCUGUAUAAAGUAUAUAUUCUAGAAGUGGAGUGGGAAAAUCAAUCAAAUAUAUUUUAUAUGGUGACACAUGCUAUUGUGACCUGAAGAACAAGAUGCCACAAAUGCACAAGAUGGGAGUAGGGGUGCAGUGGGCACAUCUGAGCAUCAGUGUAAAGGGUGUGAAGAAGCACACUCUUCAAGACCUCAGCAAGAACUGUUUCUGGGCAGGAAACACUAGGAUACAACCCUGAGGUAGGAGCAAGUUUCAAGUGUUGGAAGAAUAGCCUAAAGGUCAGUGACCCAGAGCAGAGCAAGAGAGAAGGGCUACAGUGCAAAUUAAUAAUCCAGGGCUGGAUCCUGCUGGGCCUCGGGAGCUGUGUCAGUAGUCUGGACUUUAUUUAUUUAUUUAUUUAUUUAUUUAUUUAUUUAUUUAUUUAUUCACGAGAGUCACACACACAGAGAGAGAGAGAGAGAGAGGCAGAGACAGAGGCAGAGGGAGAAGUAGGCUCCAUGCAGGGAGCCCGAUGGGGGGCUCGAUCCUGGAUCUCCAGGAUCACACCCUGGGCGGAAAGUAGGCGCUAAACCGCUGAGCCACCCAGGGAUCCCCAGACUUUAUUUAUUUAAAUGUGAUGAGUACCAUCGGAGUUUUCUGAAUAUGUAUUUUGGGGGCUGGGAAUUGUGAAUGAUCUGAUUUGCAUGUUAUAAAUAUCCCUCUGGCUGCUCCGUAGGAGGCAGCUUAUAGGGGGCAGGAGAAGAAUCAAGGAGGCCAGGGAGCAGCUGAUGGCAAUUGUCCAAAUGGUCCAGUCCAAACAAGAAAAGACAAUGGCUUGCUUAGUGCAGUACACCUAGAGACGGUGAGAAAUAAUUUGAGGCGAGAUUGUUUUGUUUGGCGUGAGUUCAAAUGCUGCUGCCGUUUGCUAGGAUGGGAAGAUUAGGGAAGGAGUAUGCUUGGGAUAAUGUUGAAGAGUUCUAUUUAGGACACUUUAAACUAUCAAGUGGAGAUGCAACGUAGGCAGUCUGGAGCUGAGGGGAGAGGUCAAAGUGGGAGACAUAUAUAUGGGAGUCACGGUCAUAUAAAUGGCAUUUCAAGCCAAGUGGCUGGUGAAGAGUCCCCAGGGAGAGAGCAGAUGGAGAUGAGGGCUCAGAACUGAACCCUGAACUUCCAUAGCAUUUAAAAUCUCAAAAGGAAGAGCCAGCAGCCAGCAGAGGAGACAGUACAUGAACAGCCAUGAGACAGGGGGUAGCAGGAAACUUAUCCUGUGGGUUUCUUUGAGAAUGAGAGAGAAGGAGAGAAUUGGCUCUAGGGGUUAGUGUCAUGUGUGUAACUGUCUGAACGAUGCCAGUACACAAAUCGUCUCAAACAUUUCUCUUUUAUAUAUUUUCUAGAUAAUCAUGAGAAGAGUAUAAGGGAGGGGGCAUUGAUUGCUGAGGCCGGGAGACUGAACUUGGUAUAAAGUCCUGACACUGCCUCUUACAGCUUCUGUCAACUUGAAUGCAUCAAACACCAUGGCUAACUUGGCCUUCUCAUCUAUAAGACAGUGAUAACAGAAGCCAACCUGGAAACCCGUAGGCUCAGCAGAGCAUCCCUGGUCCGGGCUACUGGUCUGAAAUAGGCUGCUUCCAGGUCUGACUCUGCUUCUAGGUGGUGAGCAAGAAUGCCUGCUGAUAGAUGUUGGCUUCCAGAUGUGUAGGGCAAGGCCUGGUGCAUGGGAGAGAGCAGGAGUGAAGAUCUUGCUCGUUGUAGUCACACCUGCAGAGUGGGGGACCUCCACAUUUUUACUGGCAGGGUAACUCUGGUUGCAUUACUUCCCCUCUCUGAUCCUUAAAUUUCCUGAUGAUUAAAUGGGAACUGACACCAGUGUCAGAAUGUUCUGAGGAUGAACAAAGGAGAUACUCUCUAAAGUGCUCUGCAGAAUGCUUGGCAUUGGCUAGUGGGGAAGACAUUAUUGGAAUUCGUGUUGCAUAAUCGUCUGCAGUGCACUGACCACCUUUCCCCUCCUGCUCUGAGCCCCAGGAGGAUGCUAUGAUUAGAACCACAGAGUCAGGUAAACCUGAAUUCAAACCUUCGCAUCUCUGCUUAUCAGCUGACUUCCACACACUAUGUAUGACUUUAAACAGCAGCCUAAGCCUUAGUUUCCUCCUUUGUACAAAGGGGAUAGUGACCCCAAACUCAAUGGGCUGUUGGUAGGAUAACCAUAAAAGUGUGUUUACUCACUUAGCACUAGUGUACUGUGUGUACUCAGUAAAUCCUCAUGGCUGUCGUCAUCACCGUGAUGCACCAGAAAGCCAUUUGUAAGCUGUAAAGGACUAUAUAUCCACAAGAGAUGUUUUCCAUUGUUAUUCAUGGGAAGGUUUGUUGCUGCUGGGAUAUAAGGCUGCCCCGCACUGAAGCUGGCUGCAUUUCUCCUUUCAUUCCUUUACAGGACCUGUGAUUAUUGUCCCUCUAAGAUUUGGCCCUAGAUCACCCCCUCCAGGAAGCCUUCCUUAAUUAAUCGCACUUUUUCUACUCUUUUAUUCUCCAAACACUCCAUCUUUAGGAGUAAAUUCAGAUGUACAAAACAGAUGAAUUAGGGUUAAUUAGUUGUAGCACCAGAGGAUUCCUCAAGAUAGCUUUAAAUCAUACAAUCCCAAAGCACAGUCCAACCACAAGCAAUUUACAAACAUUUGAUUAACGCUGAGGGGCACUGGGAUGUUGCUAUUGCCCAAAUUGAAGUCCAGAUUUGGUCUGGGCUAUUUAGUGCAUGUGUGUUAAACAUGCUUUAGUGCAUGUGUGUUAAACAUGCUUUAGUGCAUGUGUGUUAAACAUGCUUUGCUAGUCUUCAGAGUUGGCUUUGCCUAGUCUAAGAUUUAAUGUUAAAUUCCCAAUGGAGGGAUGCUAACUUUAAUUUCCAUUAUUUUCGGGGAGGACAUACCCCCAAAGGGCUGUCAUAGGUGGGACUCAGGGGCAAGUAGACUGUCGAGCUGAUUUUUGACAAGCAAAAUCAUUCAUGCCUGUUGUAACUGACUUAAGUGCCUCAUUGUGAUGGGAAGUGUGAACUUUCUGGAAUGGUAAUCAACUGCAUACCAAAAGUGGGGGCCUGAGGGGAAUUUUACUCACAGAAGCAAGGGAUUGGGAACUAAAUACUAAGAUAAUAGUUUUAGAUUUUUCCCCUUAAUUUAUUUCUUUGUUACUCUCCUGAUCAAUUAUGAUAAAACUGUUAACGGUAAACCAGUGGGAUCACUUCAGGUAUAACAAUGAAGAAGAUGCAGAGAAAGUUCCUACUCCUCGGGAGGCUUGGACGAGGAAGAGCUCAGGGGACAGAGACAGCAUCCCUUCCUGGAACAGAAUGUAAGAAAAGAUGUAGGCUCACCAUUUGCUUCGAUGUGGAUGGAACUGGAGGGUAUUAUUCUGAGUGAAGUAAGUCAGUUGGAGAAGGACAACCAUCAUAUGGUUUCACUCAUACAGGAAAUAUAAAAAAUAGUGAAAGGAAUCAUAGGGGAAAGGAGAGAAAAUGAGUGGGGAAAAUCAGAGGAGACAGAACAUGAGAGACUCCUAACUCUGGGAAACGGACAAGGUGUAGUGGAAGGGGAGGUGGGGGGAACAGGGUCACCGGGUGACGGGCACUGAGGGGGCACUUGAUGGGAUGGGCACUGGGUGUUAUACUCUAUUGAACUCCAAUAAAUAUAUAAAUAAAUCCAAUAAAUAAAUAAAUAAAACUCCAAUAAACUCCAAAAAAUACACACAAAAAAAUAAAUUUAAUUUUAAAAAACAAACAAAAAAACCCCACAAAAAAAAAAAAAAAAAAAAAAA